AUGGCUGACGAGGAUGCCGCAGCCACGGCGAACCUCGUCGAGGCUGAAGAGGACGAUGGGCCAGCAAUGAUGAUGGCUUGCGUCGAGACCAUGCAGGAGGGCCCAGCGCCUUCGGAGACCAUGGCCCCGACAAGCAUCGAAGCCGUGCAGGAGGGCGCAGCACCUCCGGCAACCACGGUGCCGGCAAUCGUUAAGUCCGUGCGGGAGGCACGGAGCUCUUCAACUAAUCCCCUCCCCACAUCGGUAGCGCUCUCCCCGACAACAACGUUCUCGGGAGACUACGAUUGGGAGGAGAUGAAGACCCGGGUGUGGGGGGGCCACACCCCGGCAACCACGUUCCCUGCAACGCUGGUCAAGCCCGUGCAAGUUGGCACGGCAAAGGCGUACCCGACAUCCUCGGGACCCAAUAAGCCCGUGUCAGGAGGCACGGCAACGAGGUAUAUGGUGGGCCACGUCCCAACCAUGAUGCUGGUGACCAGUGAGACCGUGCAAGAGGCACGACACUCUCAGGUCGGCCACACCCCGACAACCAGGUUCUCGGGGUUCUGCAAGCCCGUGUGGGCAACACGGCACUCUUCGACGGGCCUCAACAGCUGGGAGGCCAUGAAGAGACGGUCAUGGGGCGGCAAGGCCUCGACCGUGACUCUGGCGACCAUCGAGGCUGUGCAGGAGGCGCGGUGCUCUAUGGUCAGCCACGCAGCAACCCUGACGCGCUCGGGGUCCAUCGAGUCCGUGCGAAAGGCACGACUCACAAAUGUCGGAGGAGACCCGACAAGCAAGUCUGAUGGGAAGAACACCAAGGACUUCGCUACCCUGAGAGGAGCCACUCCGGGCAGUGCGGCGUCCGGCACAACGACCCCAGGAAGGGAGUUCCUGGGUAGUGCGAUGUCCGACAAGUCAUCCCCGGGAAGGGAGUUCCCGGGCAGUGCGGCGUCCGGCACGACGACCCCGGGAAGGGAGUUCCCGGGCAGUGUGACAUCAGGAACUACGACCCCAGGAACACUGACGCCCACGAGCGAGGUGGUUCCCGGGCAGUUCAUGUCUUCGUCUACAGCGCGGUCGGACCGAUUUGACACCAACAACGUUGGCGCUCCACACAGGUUUCGGUGCCUAGGAGGACCUUCUCGGCGAGCCUGCGGGACGAUCGUAGCACCCGAGAUCGAGAAGCAGGAGAAGGUCGGGAUCAUCGACAACAAGCUCCUUCGACAAGGUUGA
This 1215-nucleotide ribosomal RNA is filed under the name Triticum aestivum (bread wheat). RNAcentral's name for it is "partial small subunit ribosomal RNA". Lineage: Eukaryota; Viridiplantae; Streptophyta; Magnoliopsida; Poales; Poaceae. The record is from RNAcentral.